UGCUAGUCGGAUACUAUGUGUAAGAGAUA
Molecule: non-coding RNA, 29 nt
Filed under: Rattus norvegicus (Norway rat)
Lineage: Eukaryota; Metazoa; Chordata; Mammalia; Rodentia; Muridae
Source: RNAcentral